AUGUGUCCACGCCAAAUCAUCUUCCUGUCUUAUCUUCUUCUAAUUUCCAGUAAGGAACUUGGACUGCUUAUAAAGUUACAAGUACCAACAAAUUAAAAUUGAGUGCAGCAAUUGGAGUUUGCAAGCCAGCGAUCAGACUAGUAUUCACUGUGUGGGUGAGCUCAGAAGACAGACUUGUCCACCUUGUCCCCAUAUUGUCGCAGCUACAUGCACAGAGCUGGGUUAUAGGGGACCUCCGAUUGGGCCUUUGCCUCCUAAUUCAGGACUUCUGAUGGGCUAAAAUGAGCCUAAGUUUAGUUAGGAAGGGCGUCCCUGGACAGUGAUGGUUCAGUACUUGAACAAAAACUUCGAUUAAGAACCACUCGGGGGAUAUUAUAACCCAUCGUUUCCGAUCAAAUUA
RNAcentral lists this long non-coding RNA (400 nucleotides) under Populus trichocarpa (black cottonwood). RNAcentral describes it as "long non-coding RNA (PTRI_LNC002563)". Lineage: Eukaryota; Viridiplantae; Streptophyta; Magnoliopsida; Malpighiales; Salicaceae. The record is from RNAcentral.